Molecule: small nucleolar RNA, 98 nt
Organism: Callithrix jacchus (white-tufted-ear marmoset)
Lineage: Eukaryota; Metazoa; Chordata; Mammalia; Primates; Cebidae
Source: Ensembl
AUCCUUUUGUAAUUCAUAAACAUGAUGAUUGGGUAUGAUACUCGUGUGAGAUACGCUUCCCUCAAAACUUAUAAUGUUAGCACAUUACCCAUCUGACA